AUGAUGCAUUUGAAGGACUGCGAGCAGAGGAAUGCGGUGUGCUAAACGGAUGUGAGAAUGGACGGUGUGUGCGGGUGCAGGAAGGAUACACCUGCGACUGCUUCGAUGGUUACACACUCAACAUGUCCCGCAUGGCCUGCGUGGAUAUCAAUGAAUGCUCAGAGCUGAAUACAAAGAUGUCUCUUUGCAAGAACGGCAAGUGCAUCAACACGGAAGGCUCAUAUAAGUGUGUGUGUCUGCCAGGGUUUGUCCACUCAGCCCAGCACAACUACUGUGUGCCCCAAAGACAGAAUGCAACCAGCACGAGCACGAAGUGACCAGCAGGGGGCACAAGAUACACUAAAAACGCUCUUAUUUAAUCAAGGCCCAUAUACUCUGCACUGUAUAGAACAAACACCCAAAAACAAACCUAGAAAGAAAAUCCUACUUGAGAUGAAGAGUUUAAUGUGCUAUCUUAUGGUGUCUAUGAGAGAACUGUAUAAAAUAUUUGUUUUAUUGGUCUAUGUAAGUUUAUUAUUUUUACUGUAUUAUGAAGUAGAAAGACUUUUUAGGUGUGAACAUAGCAGAGGUGAUAUUUCAGCAAACUGACAAACCCUAUGACCUUAAGCUGGGGGACUGCUUUAUUUUACCCAGUCAGAGACAUCGAGCGUGUGGAUAUUUUACUAAUGCAAAAGCCAGACUCCUUAUUUUUAUUUUAUUCCCUUCUUUCAUUCUGUUUCAAAUUCAUUUAUUGGCUGAUUUUUCUUUAUCUCUCUCUUUACUUUUCUAUUCAUGUUUCACAUUUUUUCUUAAGGUCUUAGUGAGGCAGACCACAUUACAAACACACUAACCUGCAAUACAUAGAUUCAUAGGAAACAUACACAGCACAAAAUGUUUUCAGUGUCAAGUCUUUAAAAUAAGCUUUUUAUAUGAGCUGCUUUGUAUUAAUGACAGACACCAGCUACUUCUCUUUGUCUGGGACAUUAGUCCACUGCGGAUGUCUGUCCUGUGGAGCAGGCAUGACCUU
This is a long non-coding RNA of Sinocyclocheilus rhinocerous, 1006 nucleotides long. RefSeq lists it as uncharacterized. Lineage: Eukaryota; Metazoa; Chordata; Actinopteri; Cypriniformes; Cyprinidae. The record is from RefSeq and is a predicted model, not a curated record. The transcript has 2 exons.